GCAAGGACUACCGACGGUGAGACGAAG
Molecule: non-coding RNA, 27 nt
Filed under: Bombyx mori (domestic silkworm)
Lineage: Eukaryota; Metazoa; Arthropoda; Insecta; Lepidoptera; Bombycidae
Source: RNAcentral